This 2323-nucleotide long non-coding RNA is filed under the name Paramuricea clavata. The record is from RNAcentral. Lineage: Eukaryota; Metazoa; Cnidaria; Anthozoa; Malacalcyonacea; Plexauridae.
CUGACUCUUCCACAGUCCCUCGUUAUAUAAUUUAGUACGGGAGAAUAUGCCCGUUCGCGGGUUAGGCGUUGACAGCACACGUCGGAAAUGCGAGGGACUGUGGAAUCGUGUGUCGAAAAGUUGGCAGAAUAGUCGAAAACUCGGCAAUCGGGCAAAAUUGACAUUUUUCUCAAAUAUGAAUGAAUUUUUGGACGAAAACGGGACGAUGCAGGCUUUAGAAAACUCUUGGAUGGAUUAGUGUGACGAAUUAGAUGUCUAAAUGGAAAAUUUAUCUCUUUCUGACGUAAAUUACGGUGAGUGCUGAUAGUUUGUUUAUAAUAUGAAAGCCUCGAUGAAAGCCAUAUGUUGGCGGAUGUGCCAUGGAUUAUAUAUUAAGGAUGUGUAUCUUAAAAAUAUGAACAAUUAGCGACUAGGUAUAUGAUAAUUGUAGUUGAUCAAGUAGUAAUUUUGCACACACUUUUUUAGAUAUAGAUGACAUAAAAAAUUUGCUUUCAAACUUGGAAGUCUCUGUUUUGGUCCUCAAUGAAAUAUGGGAAACUAUCCUAUCCACAUAUAAAUAUGCCUGUGGCGAUAUAUCUGGUAUUAAAGCUAGCUGAGUAUAUACAUCGUAAUUGGUAACUUGAUGGCUGUUGCUUUCCUGUAUUAAUGGCUGGGUGUCUUGUUGAACUGGUACACUUUGGAAGUACUACAUGUUUAUAGAAAAAUAAAAUUAUAUUUAAUAAAUAUUUAUUCAGUUUCUAACACAUAAAUAAAAUAUAAUACAAUGGUAGGUUAAAAAAAUGCUGUAUAUAUUGUUGCAAACUAAAUAAAUAUCAAUCUAUUAUAGAGCUACACCAGAUUCUUGCUGUUAAAUGUUAUACUUUCUUUGUGUCAUUGGCAUUAAUUGCAACAAAUACCAACAAUGCAAAAACAAGAUACAAAUUGUGCAUUGACCAGUAUUUAAACAGUGUACUGCAUUGACUAAUAAAAAAAGUUAUUUGAUAAACUUAUCUGGUAGUAAUUUACUCUGUCUAACAUAGUUCGGAAAGGGUCUGUAUUAUAUCUCCUAUUUUAUAAAUAUUCCCCCUAUUACAGACUGUUAAUUAAUAACCUCUUUCAGAGAGCAAAAUUUGACAUUUGGACUUGUAGUUUAAUUAAUUAAAAACCACUUGUUCUGUAAUUUCUACGAUGGUUUUCUUAUCACGCCCCUCUUUAAUUAACACAUCCUCUUUUAGUAACCUCCCCCCCCUCCCCAUAACAAAACAUUUUUUCAAGGUUUAUCCUCUUGAAGCAAGGAGGUUUUAAACUAUGUCUAAUCAAGGAUGGAUCCAGCAUGAUUUAGUAGGGGGGGGGGGGUGCUCUACCAGCUCUGGUGCUGAGUUGUGUCUGUCAUGUGUGCCGCCAGCCCAUCAACUUGCUUCACUACUGCAAAGUCUUGCUUCACUACUGUAUUUGAAUUGUUGUGCACAGUUCGCUUAUCAUCAUGUUAUUGUUCAAAUUACUGUAUCUCAUUUUGUCUCUAAUAUUUUUUCCCUUUAUCAUGAAAAAUAGCAUGCCCCCCCCCUCUGGCCAGGGUAGGGGGAUGCACCCCCACUCCCCCAGUAAAUCCUUCCCUGUGUCUAAUGGCUAUGUUUUUGUUUGUCAUACAAAUCCACACAAAAGUCUAUAUUCCUCUUAUUAACAUUAUGGUUGAACAUAGACUAUCACACUGAUAACAAAGUAGCCUGCCUCGCAGACAUCCUUAAAUGGCUCAGAGCCAUAAGGAUGUGUGUGAGGCAGGCUAAUAACAAAGCUAUGGCUAAAGUUAUAUAAGCCACUGCUAGCCAGAGAAAUGUACUGUAAAAGAAGGAGAGUGCUAUUCUUGACUUGUAGCUAUGUGGGCUGAAUCAUGUUGGUGCCAUUUUUUCAAAAGGAUCUCGUUAUCUUUCAUUGAAUUUGGCACCAAAAUGGCAGCUGUUAAUUGUCUUCUAACUCUCAAGGGUUGGUUGCAAGUCAAGAAUACCAAGAAUAACCUCUGACUAUAAGCCCUUGGCUUAUAUUCUUUUUUAAGCAAUUUUUGAUUGGCUUAUACAGUACAUGGGUGCUCUUUUCAGUCUUGUGUUAGUAUAUAAUAAACAAGUCAGUCAUAAACAGGAAAAUAAACAUGUAUUAAUAACAAAUAAAGACAAUGAUUGGGGGUUAUAUUCAGGGGGGGGGAAGCUGUAACAAAUUUGAGCUAUUCUAGGUUCAUAUUUAUGUCUCGAUUUAAGUUUAUCUUUGUAAAAGAGCAUUCAACCACAAUAAUGUUCCCUUCAAUGUUUCCAUGUGUUGCAUCCAUUGUUUGUUUGGUAUACCAACUGAUAUU